Non-coding RNA from Mycena galericulata, 97 nucleotides. The record is from the annotation of a GenBank genome assembly. NCBI's taxonomy places the organism in Eukaryota, Fungi, Basidiomycota, Agaricomycetes, Agaricales, Mycenaceae.
GUCUCUGUGGAGUAAUGUAACUCACUCCUUCUCGGUUCAUACAUCUAAAUUCUCGCAAUAUCAAGGAGUGUCGGUGGUUCGAAUCCACCCAGAGACA